RNAcentral lists this ribosomal RNA (548 nucleotides) under uncultured Glomeromycotina. RNAcentral describes it as "SSU rRNA". It matches the Rfam family "Eukaryotic small subunit ribosomal RNA", at positions 548 to 1098 of the family's 1831-position model. Lineage: Eukaryota; Fungi; Glomeromycota. The record is from RNAcentral.
UUGGAGGGCAAGUCUGGUGCCAGCAGCCGCGGUAAUUCCAGCUCCAAUGGCGUAUAUUAAAGUUGCUGCAGUUAAAAAGCUCGUAGUUGAAUUUCGGGACCAUCAUGUCGGUCGUGCCUCGGUACGUACUGGUAUUGUUGGUUUCUCCCUUCUGACGAACCAUGAUGUCAUUUAUUUGGUGUUGUGGGGAAUCAGGACUGUUACUUUGAAAAAAUUAGAGUGUUUAAAGCAGGCUCACGCUUGAAUACAUUAGCAUGGAAUAAUGAAAUAGGACGUUUGAUUCUAUUUUGUUGGUUUCUAGGAUCGACGUAAUGAUUAAUAGGGAUAGUUGGGGGCAUUAGUAUUCAAUUGUCAGAGGUGAAAUUCUUGGAUUUAUUGAAGACUAACUACUGCGAAAGCAUUUGCCAAGGAUGUUUUCAUUAAUCAAGAACGAAAGUUAGGGGAUCGAAGACGAUCAGAUACCGUCGUAGUCUUAACCAUAAACUAUGCCGACUAGGGAUCGGAUGAUGUUAAUUUUUUAAUGACUCAUUCGGCGCCUUACGGGAAAC